Molecule: ribosomal RNA, 465 nt
Filed under: Vreelandella stevensii
Lineage: Bacteria; Pseudomonadati; Pseudomonadota; Gammaproteobacteria; Oceanospirillales; Halomonadaceae
Description: partial 16S ribosomal RNA
Rfam family: Bacterial small subunit ribosomal RNA
Source: RNAcentral
CCUACGGGGGGCAGCAGUGGGGAAUAUUGAACAAUGGGCGAAAGCCUGAUCCAGCCAUGCCGCGUGUGUGAAGAAGGCCUUCGGGUUGUAAAGCACUUUCAGUGGGGAAGAAAGCCUUGGGGCUAAUACCCUCGAGGAAGGACAUCACCCACAGAAGAAGCACCGGCUAACUCCGUGCCAGCAGCCGCGGUAAUACGGAGGGUGCGAGCGUUAAUCGGAAUUACUGGGCGUAAAGCGCGCGUAGGCGGUCUGAUAAGCCGGUUGUGAAAGCCCCGGGCUCAACCUGGGAACGGCAUCCGGAACUGUCAGGCUAGAGUGCAGGAGAGGAAGGUAGAAUUCCCGGUGUAGCGGUGAAAUGCGUAGAGAUCGGGAGGAAUACCAGUGGCGAAGGCGGCCUUCUGGACUGACACUGACGCUGAGGUGCGAAAGCGUGGGUAGCAAACAGGAUUAGAUACCCUAGUAGUC